AAAUUACCCACUCCCGGCACGGGGAGGUAGUGACAAAAAAUAACGAUACGGGACUCUAUUGAGGCCCCGUAAUCGGAAUGAGUACACUUUAAAUCCUUUAACAAGGAUCCAUUGGAGGGCAAGUCUGGUGCCAGCAGCCGCGGUAAUUCCAGCUCCAAUAGCGUAUAUUAAAGUUGUUGCGGUUAAAAAGCUCGUAGUUGGUUCUGCGUGCCGCGCUGUCGGUUCGCCGCCUGUCGGUGUUACUGGCAUGUCGCGGUAUGUCCUGUCGGUGGUGAAUGGGAUCCCCGGUGCUGCCUAGGCUUUUAUAGUCGAAGCACGUGCCGUACGGAUGCCAUUUGCCGAUUUCUCCUACUCCGGUGCUCUUAAACGAGUGUCGAGGUAGGCCGACACGUUCACUUUGAACAAAUUAGAGUGCUUAAAGCAGGCUGAAAUAUCUGCCUGAAUAGUGGUGCAUGGAAUAAUAAAAUAGGACCUCGGUUCUAUUUUAUUGGUUUUAGGAAUAUGAGGUAAUGAUCAAUGUGGACUGGCGGGGGCAUUCGUAUUGCGACGUUAGAGGUGAAAUUCUUGGAUCGUCGCAAGACGCACUAGAGCGAAAGCAUUUGCCAAGUAUGUCUUAAUUGAUCAAGAACGAAAGUUAGAGGUUCGAAGGCGAUCAGAUACCGCCCUAGUUCUAACCAUAAACGAUGCCAGCCAGCGAUCCGCCGAUGUUCCAAUAAUGACUCGGCGGGGAGCUUCUACCCGGGAAACCAAAGCUUUUGGGUUCCGGGGGAAGUAUGGUUGCAAAGCUGAAACUUAAAAGGAAUGACGGAAGGGCACCACCAGGAGUGGAGCCUGCGGCUUAAUUUGACUCAACACGGGAAACCUCA
RNAcentral lists this ribosomal RNA (866 nucleotides) under Rhiginia sp. CW-2009. Its description in RNAcentral is "SSU rRNA". It matches the Rfam family "Eukaryotic small subunit ribosomal RNA", at positions 438 to 1217 of the family's 1831-position model. The record is from RNAcentral. Lineage: Eukaryota; Metazoa; Arthropoda; Insecta; Hemiptera; Reduviidae.